GGUUAAGCGACUAAGCGUACACGGUGGAUGCCCUGGCAGUCAGAGGCGAUGAAGGACGUGCUAAUCUGCGAUAAGCGUCGGUAGGUGAUAUGAACCGUUAUAACCGGCGAUUUCCGAAUGGGAAACCCAGUGUGAUUCGUCACACUAUCAUUAACUGAAUCCAUAGGUUAAUGAGGCGAACCGGGGAACUGAAACAUCUAAGUACCCCGAGGAAAAGAAAUCAACCGAGAUUCCCCCAGUAGCGGCGAGCGAACGGGAGCAGCCCAGAGCCUGAAUCAGUGUGUGUGUUAGUGGAAGCGUCUGGAAAGGCGCGCGAUACAGGGUGACAGCCCCGUACACAAAAAUGCACAUGCUGUGAGCUCGAUGAGUAGGGCGGGACACGUGGUAUCCUGUCUGAAUAUGGGGGGACCAUCCUCCAAGGCUAAAUACUCCUGACUGACCGAUAGUGAACCAGUACCGUGAGGGAAAGGCGAAAGAACCCCGGCGAGGGGAGUGAAAAAGAACCUGGAAACCGUGUACGUACAAGCAGUGGGAGCACGCUUAGGCGUGUGACUGCGUACCUUUGUAUAAUGGGUCAGCGACUUAUAUUCUGUAGCAAGGUUAACCGAAUAGGGGAGCCGAAGGGAAACCGAGUCUUAACUGGGCGUUAAGUUGCAGGGUAUAGACCCGAAACCCGGUGAUCUAGCCAUGGGCAGGUUGAAGGUUGGGUAACACUAACUGGAGGACCGAACCGACUAAUGUUGAAAAAUUAGCGGAUGACUUGUGGCUGGGGGUGAAAGGCCAAUCAAACCGGGAGAUAGCUGGUUCUCCCCGAAAGCUAUUUAGGUAGCGCCUCGUGAAUUCAUCUCCGGGGGUAGAGCACUGUUUCGGCAAGGGGGUCAUCCCGACUUACCAACCCGAUGCAAACUGCGAAUACCGGAGAAUGUUAUCACGGGAGACACACGGCGGGUGCUAACGUCCGUCGUGAAGAGGGAAACAACCCAGACCGCCAGCUAAGGUCCCAAAGUCAUGGUUAAGUGGGAAACGAUGUGGGAAGGCCCAGACAGCCAGGAUGUUGGCUUAGAAGCAGCCAUCAUUUAAAGAAAGCGUAAUAGCUCACUGGUCGAGUCGGCCUGCGCGGAAGAUGUAACGGGGCUAAACCAUGCACCGAAGCUGCGGCAGCGACACUAUGUGUUGUUGGGUAGGGGAGCGUUCUGUAAGCCUGUGAAGGUGUGCUGUGAGGCAUGCUGGAGGUAUCAGAAGUGCGAAUGCUGACAUAAGUAACGAUAAAGCGGGUGAAAAGCCCGCUCGCCGGAAGACCAAGGGUUCCUGUCCAACGUUAAUCGGGGCAGGGUGAGUCGACCCCUAAGGCGAGGCCGAAAGGCGUAGUCGAUGGGAAACAGGUUAAUAUUCCUGUACUUGGUGUUACUGCGAAGGGGGGACGGAGAAGGCUAUGUUGGCCGGGCGACGGUUGUCCCGGUUUAAGCGUGUAGGCUGGUUUUCCAGGCAAAUCCGGAAAAUCAAGGCUGAGGCGUGAUGACGAGGCACUACGGUGCUGAAGCAACAAAUGCCCUGCUUCCGGGAAAAGCCUCUAAGCAUCAGGUAACAUCAAAUCGUACCCCAAACCGACACAGGUGGUCAGGUAGAGAAUACCAAGGCGCUUGAGAGAACUCGGGUGAAGGAACUAGGCAAAAUGGUGCCGUAACUUCGGGAGAAGGCACGCUGAUAUGUAGGUGAGGUCCCUCGCGGAUGGAGCUGAAAUCAGUCGAAGAUACCAGCUGGCUGCAACUGUUUAUUAAAAACACAGCACUGUGCAAACACGAAAGUGGACGUAUACGGUGUGACGCCUGCCCGGUGCCGGAAGGUUAAUUGAUGGGGUCAGCGCAAGCGAAGCUCUUGAUCGAAGCCCCGGUAAACGGCGGCCGUAACUAUAACGGUCCUAAGGUAGCGAAAUUCCUUGUCGGGUAAGUUCCGACCUGCACGAAUGGCGUAAUGAUGGCCAGGCUGUCUCCACCCGAGACUCAGUGAAAUUGAACUCGCUGUGAAGAUGCAGUGUACCCGCGGCAAGACGGAAAGACCCCGUGAACCUUUACUAUAGCUUGACACUGAACAUUGAGCCUUGAUGUGUAGGAUAGGUGGGAGGCUUGGAAGUGUGGACGCCAGUCUGCAUGGAGCCGACCUUGAAAUACCACCCUUUAAUGUUUGAUGUUCUAACGUUGACCCGUAAUCCGGGUUGCGGACAGUGUCUGGUGGGUAGUUUGACUGGGGCGGUCUCCUCCUAAAGAGUAACGGAGGAGCACGAAGGUUGGCUAAUCCUGGUCGGACAUCAGGAGGUUAGUGCAAUGGCAUAAGCCAGCUUGACUGCGAGCGUGACGGCGCGAGCAGGUGCGAAAGCAGGUCAUAGUGAUCCGGUGGUUCUGAAUGGAAGGGCCAUCGCUCAACGGAUAAAAGGUACUCCGGGGAUAACAGGCUGAUACCGCCCAAGAGUUCAUAUCGACGGCGGUGUUUGGCACCUCGAUGUCGGCUCAUCACAUCCUGGGCUGAAGUAGGUCCCAAGGGUAUGGCUGUUCGCCAUUUAAAGUGGUACGCGAGCUGGGUUUAGAACGUCGUGAGACAGUUCGGUCCCUAUCUGCCGUGGGCGCUGGAGAACUGAGGGGGCUGCUCCUAGUACGAGAGGACCGGAGUGGACGCAUCACUGGUGUUCGGGUUGUCAUGCCAAUGGCACUGCCCGGUAGCUAAAUGCGGAAGAGAUAAGUGCUGAAAGCAUCUAAGCACGAAACUUGCCCCGAGAUGAGUUCUCCCUGACCCUUUAAGGGUCCUGAAGGAACGUUGAAGACGACGACGUUGAUAGGCCGGGUGUGUAAGCGCAGCGAUGCGUUGAGCUAACCGGUACUAAUGAACCGUGAGGCUUAACCUU
Molecule: ribosomal RNA, 2896 nt
Filed under: Escherichia coli
Lineage: Bacteria; Pseudomonadati; Pseudomonadota; Gammaproteobacteria; Enterobacterales; Enterobacteriaceae
Description: 23S ribosomal RNA
Rfam family: Bacterial large subunit ribosomal RNA
Source: RNAcentral